ACAUAUGCACAAGUGCACACAUACCCUAUGUGUGUGCAUAUAUACAUGUGUGUAUACGCAUGCAUGUAUGUGUAUGUACCGUAUAGUUUAUAUAUUACACAUGAGUAAUAUACAUAAAAUACUAUAGAUAUAUACUUAUACACACACAAAACUGAGUUUUGCAGGACUCUUGUGUCCUUUUCAGAGAUCGACUGUCUUCCUCUUUCUCAGGCUGCCUCCUGACCCCCACCCCAUCCAUCGUGAUUUCUCGGUCAUGGUCACUUCCUGUGCCUUGGGCAGUGCCCUAGGCUUCAAACCUUUUCAGAUUCUUUCUGUUCCUCAAAACUGACCUGUCCAGUGCCCCAUUUCCUAAGAACCCUUUUGGUGGGGUUGGUUCUAAUCUACUAAGCUAGUUCCAUCAGGUGGUUGUUAAUGGCUUACCGUAUUAUACUCUUUGCAUGUUAACUGAAUUCUUCUGGGCUCUAUCCCAAAUGACUGCUGCCAGGGCCUGGAUCAGGGCGAGGUAAGUGGGUGCCUUGGAUGCAAACUUCAAGGAGAUGCUCGCACAACACUGAGAGUGAGUGUCUCUUAGAUGUAGUGCCUUAGGAGCUUUUCUUGCCUCCCCUGAAUUCAGGCCCUGACUGCCAGAGCGUGGAAACGUAAAGCUUUGUGAUCAGCAAGAAGAGAGAAACUUCUUGUCUCCAGAAUCACAUUCUAUUAGUAUCUGCUCACUCUAAGUCUUAACCUGGGGACACCCUAGGUUCUUAAAUUCAUUUGCUAAGUCAAAAGGUAAAAUAUCACAUAAGACAUGUUUACUUGUCAAGAUAUUUCUUAAUGCAUGACAGUUUUGAAACAGCAAAAAAAAAAAAAAGAUUCUGGAUAAUAGCAACAGAAGAGAGCUGGGCAUAUACAAUAAUGCUGAUUUGGCCUGACUUCAUCUUAUUUUUGUAGAAUAGAAAUUCUGAAAUAGUAUGUUAUUAAGGCUAAAUUUAAGAUAUAAAAUUAGACAAUCAAGAACAUAAAGCUUGUGCGGUCAAAACACAAGUAUAUUUCUCAAAUAGACUAAUUGCUUUAAAGGCAAAAUUUACAAGAUUCCCAGGGACACACAUCUCCAUGGGUGUGUUUCACCACUGAGGUGGAAUCUGCAUAUUUCCAGGUCCUAAUGGAUGAAUGAAUGCUGAUGUCUGGUGACUUACUGUCACCUUGCCUAAGUCAGGAGUGCAAAGGCAACGUUCUGAUCGUAAGGAAUGUGUGGCGCAAUCAUUUUGGAGGUUCUAGAAAUCAUUUUGGUCAUAAACAUUUUAUCCAAAUAGGAAAUUAAAUGAACAGGAAACCAUUACAUUAUAUUCUUAUUAAAGGGAUAGUGGUUUUGAACAAUUGCUUUUGAAAACAAAUGGGCAAUUAUUUCACAUCUAUCACUAAAGGCUAACGGUCUUAGCUGAAAGUAAGUGACGUGAGCUUUGUUGCAGAGAUUCCUAUUAAAGAAAAAACAGGACAUGAUUUCCUCCAGCAGGCGCAUAAGGAUGAUUUUCCGGCUUCAGAAUUUCCCUUUUGACUUCCAAUCAUGCUUCUCCAAGGGGUGCUUGCUAGACUGGAGCUACGGAAUGUGACCAUGGAGGGGAAAAGAAACUGAUGAAGCCGUACUGAAACGUGAUGUGCAUCUUUUCAGCAACACUAAGGAAGGGAUGAUUAAGUGUUUGUUACUUUUCUAUAUCAUCUAUUUUUUUCUUAUUUUUGGAUUCAUGUUUAAUUAUUUAUUCAGUACCCAUAGAGUACUUUCCUGGAAGUGAUUUUCUUUAUUGACACUAAUGAUGUUGAAGAUAACUGUAAUAAUUAUUAUAAAUCAUUUAACGUUCUUACAAUUUAAUCUCCAUCCAUUAUUUAUUAGCUGUACAUAGGCUUAUGCUACCUUUAAUUUUCACAAUUCUAUUAUCUUUAUAAUAGAAACUGAGGCUAAGAAAGCUAAGAGACAUGGUCUAGAUCACGUAGUCAAGAACUAGAAACUGGGAUGAAUCCUGGCUUUAUUUUUUUUUCCAAAUCCUCUGCCUCUGAUGUCUAUUGGCUUUCCAGGACCGUCCACUCAAUCCUGGUCUUUUUGGAUAUUUCCCUAGGCUCUAGGCAUUUCCUGUUUACCCUUCCUCUCUGUUUCUCACCAAACUAGCCCCCAGAUAGGUUGUUGAUUGUCAGAAAUAAGAUAAAUUAAUUCACACUGGGACUGAUUGGGACUAAUUCAUUUCUGUAUUCUACAAAGAGUUAAGGAUGACCUCCUUUCACCACACAUUCUGCCUGCUUCUAGAUUCUACAAAUGAAGACAGCAUAUCCCUGUCCUCAGGGAGCCCUUUGCUCACAGACAUGUCUACUGGACAAAUCAUGACCAUAUAUUAUCUCUCCUGUGUGCUGUAUCUAUUUUAAGAGGGAUAGAGUUGUAACGAUGAAACUUUAGGCACCAGCCUGCCAGCCUCAUAAAACCGUAAUGGAGGGGUGGGGUGAGGGGUCUAAGGUGCCCCAGGACCUGUAGGAGCAGGACUUUGCUUCUGCCUGAGGCUGAUCCUGUUAGAAAACAGUCCAUUUUAGACUGUUACCAUGCCUACAAUAUUACUAAUUUGGAACUUUCUCAAGUUUUAUCUCUUAAAUCUAAAUUCUGUAAGGUAGCCUAAUAAGUUAUUUUUCUCCAACAAUAUUUAGAAUCAUAAUUUUGGCAAAGCAGGAGGUCAGGUGCCCCUUCAAUCGUGAGAUUUAAAUCUGUUUCCUGUUAUCUUCUUUCUACUUCUUUCUGCAGCCCUAUCAUUGUGCUUGUAGUUCAGCUGGUGGCUCUGACGGGGUUCAGGACAUGCUAUCCCAAAUUUGAUACCUUGGUAUAUGGACUGUCUUAAGCUGAAGAAGUUUGAGAAAAUGGUAGAAGCAGGAAAGUUACUCUGACUUCCCCACCCCAUCCUCCUUCUUCCGUGAAAGCAGGGGUAAAUUUGCCCAUGUGAAAGGUACCCUCCCUGUAUCCAGAGGAGAGAAGACAUGGUUUUCACCAGCGAUGGGGAAGCCGUUCAAACAAACUUCAUUAAACUAACCCUUAGUAUUCUUCCUCACCACUCACUACCCCCAGCCCAAACCCCUUUGCCUUGUCAAAUCAUCACAAAUGUAUUGUUUUGGUGUCUAAAAGGUAUAAAAGCUUCCUGCUCUGGUCACUUCUUAGGUCUUUAUUCUCUUGUGAAGACUUCCACAUAUAUGUCAAAAUGCAAUAUAUCUUGUAUACUUUUCUUCUGUUAACCUAUCUUUGUCUGUUUAAUUUUCAAACCCAGGCAGGACCCCUAAGAGGGUUGAGGAAAAUGUUUUCCUUCCCUACAGCUCUAUGGAACUCCUGCCAGAAAAUGGAUGAAAAUUACCUUCAAAAUAUAUCAUUUCUGAAUUUAAAGAUUCAGUGAAACACUGUUGUAAUGAUAUGUAGAGAAAUAUUCACAGAUAAUCUAUUAAGCUUGCUAAACUUUUAUUUUGUUUUCAUGUGAAUGUAUCAUAUCACUGGAGAUAGACUAGAACCAAGAUAUAACAUGAUUUUCUAUGAGUGAAAGGCCAUCUGUCUUGCUUUUUUACGUGACUAUGUACAACAUUUGCUAAUAUGUACCACCAGACUUUCUUAAAUGAUUGCUAUGAACAAAUUUAAAUACAAACACUAAAAGUCUCAAUAAAAAUCACUGUAAAUAUUUCAAACAUAUUCAACUAGGGAAUGGAAAUCAGAGACAUAAGUAGUUCUAUGAUAUGGUUGCAUAUAGUUUUAAGGAGGGGAAGGUCAGAUUUCUUCAGCAAAUAGGUGACCAUCAUUCUAGGAAGAUGAUGAUACUACCUGAGAAGGUGAACUGAGAACUUCAAGUUCUCAAGAGUUUUCCAGGAAUCCUUCACAUAGCCUGAUGCCAAAGGCUGCUCUCGGGUAAUGAAAUGGGCUGAAUCUCCUUUCCCGUACAGCAGGGGUCCCCAAACCCCAGGCCUGUUAGGAACCGGGUGGCCCAGCAGGAGGUGAGCGGCGGUGGGCUGGGGAGCGAGUGAAGCUUUCUGUGCGCUCACUAUCGUUCCCCAUCGCUCUCAUUACUACCUGAACCAUCCCCCCUCACCCCUCCCCGCUCCGUGGAAAAAUGGUCUUCCACGAAACCAGUCCCUGGUGCCAAAAAUUUGGGGGACCACGGCUACCUUACAUUUAUAAGUGCUUCUCCUCGUCCUCUUGCUACCUCACUUCCCAGAGCUCAAAAUACUUUCUGCCUCCUAAAUACUCCCUUAUUAACCCUAAAGCCAUGGGGAGGCCAGUAGGGGAAUUUGGAAGGGCUACUCAUUUUCUGAGCUCAGAAAAUUCUAUCACGUCAGGGUCAAGCUCGUCAGAAACGAAUUUGAACCUUCUGGCUUUGCACAAGGAAAUACGAAAAUAGUUGGUGGUCACCCCUCCCCACCCGCCAGAAGAAUUGAAGAGAAUAUUCUCCAGUUUGUCCGGUUGAAGAUAUUUCUGCAAGCGUACAGUUUGAGGCCUGGGGAAUCCUGGCAUGCUCUUUCUGCUGGUUUCUCCUCUUUAAGAUGUGAGGUCAGCAAUCCAUCCAGUCGUCAUUCCUUUGCAGUUCAAUUCACAGGCCCCAGCCACUGAACUUGAAAAUAGAGGAAAAGGUUUUUUCCUCCCCUCCACCUGAAAUCCAUUUACUUUCUGGGAGAAGGCCAAGAGACCCUCUGCCAACAAGCCCUAACUGUGGCCUUUUAAAGAGGAAGAAGAAGUGAAUCUGUAUAGCUGUAACGGCCAAGGGACAUCAGGAAGGUGAAAUGCAGUGAUGCCAGAUGGAAUUUGGCUAGCAGAGAAUCUUCGUGGUUGGUAAGAGGUGGGGAGGAGUAGGCCCAUGACAUGUGCUCCUUGGGGAUGUAGAAGAGAGAGCAGGUGACCUUGACUACCUCCUCCCUGUAAGCAGCUUCCUCAGCUGUCAUCUCUCCUUCAAGAAAGACAUUUAUUUGGAGCUGUGCAGUCAUUUAGAGGACGCUUUUCUGUGGCUCACCUCGGGAUGACUUUGCAAAAUUAGGGAACUCUGGAAAAGAUGCAGGCUGAGAUUGGCCCUGGCCAGAGUUCACAGAAGAUGGCAGCUAUGGGAGGCAAGAGCUGGGCUGUGCUCAGUUUGGCUGGCAACCCUGGACGGCAAGAAGAUGCUCAGACAUCAGAGGAAUUCCGUUCCUCUCUCAUAGCCCCUCUAAUCCAGCGUGACGCUUUCCUACUCCAAAGAGUUUUCCCUGAUUAACCUCAAUUCACAACACCUUUCUUUUCAUCGACUCCCAAAGGUUUAGCUGUGUGCUUUAUGCCAAAGUGUUCCCUUUACCUCUCUAUUCAUGCCUUUGUUGCCUUGCUUAGGACAAUUCCUUCAGUGCUCAAUCAGGUAAAAAGUCGCCUUCUUCCUCCUGGCAUUCAAGGGCAAGAGUUUUAGAGUUCAGUGGUUCAGGGUUCAAUUCUGGACUCUUCCAUUUAUUCCAGCUCUAAGACCUUGAACAAUUAUUUACACUCUUGCAGCCUGAGCCUCUAUGUCUACAAAAUGAGAAUGAUAAUAACAACUGUUACUCGUACCUGUCCUUUUUAAGAUCUUUCUCUGGACAUUCUGGAUUACAUAGACGUAAACAAGACACAAACACUUAAGAGAUUUCGCUAAUCUUAUUAUAUCUCUCAGAAGAUAGGAGAUAGGUAAGGAUUGGUCUAGGCUCAUACAGAAAAGAAAACUUUCCUAAGCAUUGUAUAGAUGUGCCCCUACCUAACAGAACAAAUAUUCUUGACACUCUUUCCUCCCCGACUCUUUCCCACGAAGUAAUAAUAUUAGGUAUUCCCUAUAUAAUUGCAGCCACAUGGGAAAUUACUCCUCCAGAGUUUCUGGAGUGAAAUACAGUUUGUGCUUUGGGACAGAUGGGCUUACCAGUUACCUCAAUUUUAUAUACCAGUACAACUAGAGGCAAUGGAAUUGAGUUCCACCAGAUGGCCACAAAAUACUACGACAGGCAAGAUUCAGGAACUAAUAUAAUUAGUUGGGACAACAAAAAGACAAGAGUAAAAAAAUGUGUGGCCAUUCACAGCUAUUCUACCUUGCAAUCCAGGGCCACACAAGUUGGGUAUUGCACAAUCUUCUUCGGUGCCCCUGGGAUUAUUUCCAGAUCCAUAAUUGGGACACACAGAAAAAUUUCAAAGUUUUUUUCUGUCUACCAGGUUUGUUCCAAAUUCAUUUGAAUAUUAAGACUUUUGUGAUUUUCAUUAUUACUCAGUAGUAACAAGAGUCUGACUCUUUAUAUCACUAAAGUCUUCAACAUCUGCUUAUAAAAGUUAAAUGACAAAUACCACAGUGCCUGAUACAUUGUGAGUGUCCAGAAAAUGUUAGUUUUUAUUAUUAUGACAAAUGUCAUAUCAUCAUCGAAUACUACCGCACGUGAAAUAAAUGCUUGACGAACCUAGUCAGAUUACUCCAGCACCCUUCCUUAUACAGUUAUCAAUAAGUUGAAUCUACACAUCUAACCUACUUUGCAUUCCCCACAAACCACACCUGCACCAGCCCCAAUCAUCAAUGCUGGCCCACCAACCUUGGUCACAUAGAAAUCUGGUAGAACCAUGUGAUAAUUCUAUAUUCUGAGUUAUUUCAAUAAAGCCAGCACACUCUGAUUCUCCUUUCUAUUUCCCUUCUGUUGAGUUUUACAAAGGGGUGGAGAAGUGGGUAUGGGUUCUUUAAGUGUUUCUUAAUUAGACUUGAGGACAUUUGCUAGAGGGGAAAGAGAAAGUCAAGAUGAAAUGUGUGAGCAAGUACUUUUGAAGACAAAUUUCCACAUCUACACUUGAUUCAAUUAUAGUUUAAGGUCAUUUUCUCCCAUGCCAGAUUGAAAUGUAUAAACUCUGUUCAUCCUUGGAAGGUAGGAAUCUGAGCCUGUAGGAGCCAGGGGAGGGCUUCAGAAAUAUGUAUAAUGUAAGGUCUGCAAAUCUCAGGACCCAGAUGUUUACAUGAGCAAAUCUGAGGUAACAUCCAUAGGAACAAAACAGCCUCACUCUUCUCAUUUCACUUUUGUCCACUGACUAACCUGGUAAAUACUACCGCACCAUAGACCAAUGGGACAAGGGUGGUCAGUAGCUCUCUGUGUCCCUGCUGGUGGUUCCGCAGGUCUUUGUACAGUUAUCAGAUAUUCAUAUAGAUAAUUAGCUGCCUUCACUGCUUAGGUUGUGUAACUGGAGACAUAACUUCUAAGCAAUUUCCUUUUUGCAGUUUUUUCAACCUUACUGGGGCUUUAACCUCAAAAUGCAAGCUGUAGAACAUAAAACAGAGCAGGAUUUACAUGUUCUGGAAUCAAGACUAUUGCUCCUGUUUUAUUUACUUCAGUCAAGAGAAUUUGAUGAGGGAUGUUUUGAUGAGUAUAUCUCUGAAAAGUUGGAACAUUCACGUAAAUGAUUGUUCUACAACUUAAAAUUCUUUCAUACCAGCUCACGAAUUUUUUUACCCAGCUCUAAUUACAUAAAUGGUUAUAUAAACAUAUGUCUGUUACACCAAAGUCUACUUCACUUGGGAACUCAUAUGCCAGUGGGCUCAAAGAAUCAUCUUUUGAUGUUACCAAGGAACAUUUUAUGCCAUCAGGAUGAAGCAGAAAGGCAGUCAUCAAUCAGGCUCCUUUGCCUUCAUGCUCCAAGGCACAGAGAGAAAAGACCCAGAAGAGAGCGCGCUACAAGUCUCAGCUUGAUCCCUAACAGAACUCUUUAUCUUGGUUAAAUUAAUUCCUUUUCGCAAACUACAUACUUUUGUCAACGUCUCCUCUAUAACUGUGAUAAAGACAAUGGUAUAUAAAAGGCUUUCCUCUGGAGAGUUUUAUUUGAUCUUCAUAAGACAGUUGUGAAAUAAGUAAAAAGGAAGCUAUGGACUUCCAUUAGCAAAAACUCAUAUCUAAAAGCCACUGAGCUAAAAAUAAUUCAUUCAACCAUUCAUGCAUGCAGGAAACAAUAUUUCUGAUUGCCUUCUAUGUGCCAGGCACAGUGUUUAUGCUUCUAUAGAAUGAUGAUUAAAAGCAGACCUGAACAUUGCCCUUAAAAAUCUUAUAGCUGGGGAGACCUUCAAGAUGGUGGAGGAGUAAGACGUGGAGAUCACCUUCCUUCCCACAAAUACA
Aethalodelphis obliquidens (Pacific white-sided dolphin) is the source of this 8103-nucleotide long non-coding RNA. RefSeq lists it as uncharacterized. The transcript has 4 exons. Lineage: Eukaryota; Metazoa; Chordata; Mammalia; Artiodactyla; Delphinidae. The record is from RefSeq and is a predicted model, not a curated record.